ACGGGUGAGUAACACGUAGCUAACCUGCCCCCGCGACGGGGAUAACCCGGGGAAACCCGGGCUAAUACCCGAUGGUCUUCCGGGGCCAAAAGGCCUUGGAAGUAAAGGCGCUUUCGGGCGCCGCGCGGGGAGGGGGCUGCGGCCCAUCAGCUAGACGGUGGGGUAACGGCCCACCGUGGCGAUGACGGGUAGGGGGCCUGAGAGGGUGGCCCCCCACAUGGGGACUGAGACACGGCCCUGACUCCUACGGGAGGCAGCAGUGGGGAAUCUUGGGCAAUGCCCGAAAGGGUGACCCAGCGACGCCGCGUGGGGGACGAAGCCCUUCGGGGUGUAAACCCCUUUUCUGGGGGAAGAAUAAGGCGGGGAGGAAAUGCCCCGCCGAUGACGGUACCCCAGGAAUAAGCCCCGGCUAACUACGUGCCAGCAGCCGCGGUAAGACGUAGGGGGCGAGCGUUACCCGGAUUCACUGGGCGUAAAGGGCGUCUAGGCGGUUCGGCAAGUCGCCUGUGAAAGCCCCUGGCUCAACUGGGGGAGGUCGGGCGAUACUGCCGGGCUAGAGGGCGGCAGAGGAAGGUGGAACGGCCAGAGUAGCGGUGAAAUGCGUAGAUACUGGCCGGUACCCCGAUGGCGAAGGCAACCUUCUGGGCCGUCCCUGACGCUGAAGCGCGAAAGCGUGGGGAGCGAACCGGAUUAGAUACCCGGGUAGUCCACGCCCUAAACGAUAUGGGCUAGGUGUCGGGCCGCAACUGGCUCGGUGCCGCAGCUAACGCGUUAAGCCCACCGCCUGGGGAGUACGGUCGCAAGGCUGAAACUCAAGGGAAUUGACGGGGGCCCGCACAAGCGGUGGAGCAUGUGGUUUAAUUCGAUGCUAAGCGAAGAACCUUACCCGGGUUUGACAUGCAGGUGGUACCGACCCGAAAGGGAAGGGACCCAGGGCCUUCGGGCGCCUGGGAGCCUGCACAGGUGCUGCAUGGCUGUCGUCAGCUCGUGUCGUGGCACGUUGGGUUAAGUCCCGGAACGAGCGCAACCCCUGCCGCCAGUUGCCAGCGGACCUUUUUAAGGUGCCGGGGACUCUGGUGGGACUGCCGGGGAAUACCCGGAGGAAGGAGGGGAUGACGUCAAGUCAUCAUGGCCCUUAUGCCCGGGGCGACACACAUGCUACAGUGCCCGGUACAAUGGGCAGCGAACGGGGCGCCCCGGAGCCAAUCCCAUCAAAGCCGGGCAUGGUUCGGAUUGCAGGCUGCAACCC
This 1249-nucleotide ribosomal RNA is filed under the name uncultured bacterium. Its description in RNAcentral is "bacterial SSU rRNA". It matches the Rfam family "Bacterial small subunit ribosomal RNA", at positions 102 to 1313 of the family's 1533-position model. The record is from RNAcentral.